This 68-nucleotide transfer RNA is filed under the name Zacladus geranii. RNAcentral's name for it is "tRNA-Val". The record is from RNAcentral. Lineage: Eukaryota; Metazoa; Arthropoda; Insecta; Coleoptera; Curculionidae.
CAAGUUAAAGCUUUGAUGAAGCAUUUUAUUUACAUUAAAAAGAAUACUUAAAUUAUAGUAUAAUUUGA